GAUGAACGCUAGCGGCAGGCUUAAUACAUGCAAGUCGUGGGGCAGCAGGUUUGUAGCAAUACAGAUGCUGGCGACCGGCAAACGGGUGCGGAACGCGUACAGAACCUUCCUUUGAGCGGGGAAUAGCCCAGAGAAAUUUGGAUUAAUACCCCAUAGUAUAAUGAAGUGGCAUCACUUUAUUAUUAAAGAUUUAUCACUCGAAGAUGGCUGUGCGGCUGAUUAGGUAGUUGGCGGGUAAAGGCCCACCAAGCCUGCGAUCAGUAACUGGUGUGAGAGCACGACCAGUCACACGGGCACUGAGACACGGGCCCGACUCCUACGGGAGGCAGCAGUAAGAAUAUUGGUCAAUGGAGGCAACUCUGAACCAGCCAUGCCGCGUGGAGGAUGAAGGUCCUCUGGAUUGUAAACUUCUUUUAUAUGGGACGAAAAAAGGCUUUUCUAAGUCGUCUGACGGUACCAUAUGAAUAAGCAACCGGCUAACUCCGUGCCAGCA
RNAcentral lists this ribosomal RNA (493 nucleotides) under uncultured bacterium. RNAcentral's name for it is "bacterial SSU rRNA". It matches the Rfam family "Bacterial small subunit ribosomal RNA", at positions 28 to 513 of the family's 1533-position model. The record is from RNAcentral.